AGUGAACGCUGGCGGUAGGCCUAACACAUGCAAGUCGAACGGCAGCACAGUAAGAACUUGCUCUUACGGGUGGCGAGUGGCGGACGGGUGAGGAAUACAUUGGAAUCUACUUUUUCGUGGGGGAUAACGUAGGGAAACUUACGCUAAUACCGCAUACGACCUACGGGUGAAAGCAGGGGAUCUUCGGACCUUGCGCGAUUGAAUGAGCCGAUGUCGGAUUAGCUAGUUGGCGGGGUAAAGGCCCACCAAGGCGACGAUCCGUAGCUGGUCUGAGAGGAUGAUCAGCCACACUGGAACUGAGACACGGUCCAGACUCCUACGGGAGGCAGCAGUGGGGAAUAUUGGACAAUGGGCGCAAGCCUGAUCCAGCCAUACCGCGUGGGUGAAGAAGGCCUUCGGGUUGUAAAGCCCUUUUGUUGGGAAAGAAAAGCAGCAGGUUAAUACCCCGCUGUUCUGACGGUACCCAAAGAAUAAGCACCGGCUAACUUCGU
RNAcentral lists this ribosomal RNA (491 nucleotides) under uncultured bacterium. Its description in RNAcentral is "partial 16S ribosomal RNA". It matches the Rfam family "Bacterial small subunit ribosomal RNA", at positions 29 to 506 of the family's 1533-position model. The record is from RNAcentral.